This 772-nucleotide ribosomal RNA is filed under the name uncultured bacterium. RNAcentral's name for it is "bacterial SSU rRNA". It matches the Rfam family "Bacterial small subunit ribosomal RNA", at positions 68 to 812 of the family's 1533-position model. The record is from RNAcentral.
GAUGGUGCUUGCACCUGAUUGACGAUGGAUCACCAGUGAGUGGCGGACGGGUGAGUAACACGUAGGUAACCUGCCCCGGAGCGGGGGAUAACAUUUGGAAACAGAUGCUAAUACCGCAUAACAACAAAAGCCACAUGGCUUUUGUUUGAAAGAUGGCUUUGGCUAUCACUCUGGGAUGGACCUGCGGUGCAUUAGCUAGUUGGUAAGGUAACGGCUUACCAAGGCGAUGAUGCAUAGCCGAGUUGAGAGACUGAUCGGCCACAAUGGAACUGAGACACGGUCCAUACUCCUACGGGAGGCAGCAGUAGGGAAUCUUCCACAAUGGGCGCAAGCCUGAUGGAGCAACACCGCGUGAGUGAAGAAGGGUUUCGGCUCGUAAAGCUCUGUUGUUGGAGAAGAACGUGCGUGAGAGUAACUGUUCACGCAGUGACGGUAUCCAACCAGAAAGUCACGGCUAACUACGUGCCAGCAGCCGCGGUAAUACGUAGGUGGCAAGCGUUAUCCGGAUUUAUUGGGCGUAAAGCGAGCGCAGGCGGUUGCUUAGGUCUGAUGUGAAAGCCUUCGGCUUAACCGAAGAAGUGCAUCGGAAACCGGGCAACUUGAGUGCAGAAGAGGACAGUGGAACUCCAUGUGUAGCGGUGGAAUGCGUAGAUAUAUGGAAGAACACCAGUGGCGAAGGCGGCUGUCUGGUCUGCAACUGACGCUGAGGCUCGAAAAGCAUGGGUAGCGAACAGGAUUAAGAUACCCUGGUAGUCCAUGCCGUAAACGAUGA